RNAcentral lists this ribosomal RNA (255 nucleotides) under uncultured bacterium. RNAcentral's name for it is "partial 16S ribosomal RNA". It matches the Rfam family "Bacterial small subunit ribosomal RNA", at positions 524 to 776 of the family's 1533-position model. The record is from RNAcentral.
UACGUAGGUGGCAAGCGUUGUCCGGAUUUAUUGGGUUUAAAGGGUGCGUAGGCGGCCUUGUAAGUCAGUGGUGAAAUACUCCAGCUUAACUGGAGGGGUGCCAAUGAUACUGCAGGGCUUGAGUACAGAUGAGGUAGGCGGAAUUGACGGUGUAGCGGUGAAAUGCAUAGAUAUCGUCAAGAACACCGAUAGCGAAGGCAGCUUACUGGGCUGUAACUGACGCUGAGGCACGAAAAGUGUGGGGGAUCAAACAGG